Molecule: unclassified non-coding RNA, 352 nt
Filed under: soil metagenome
Description: partial contains 5.8S ribosomal RNA, internal transcribed spacer 2, and large subunit ribosomal RNA
Rfam family: 5.8S ribosomal RNA (bases 1-120)
Source: RNAcentral
GAUGAAGAACGUAGCGAAAUGCGAUAAGUAAUGUGAAUUGCAGAAUUCAGUGAAUCAUCGAAUCUUUGAACGCACAUUGCGCCCGCCAGUAUUCUGGCGGGCAUGCCUGUUCGAGCGUCAUUACAACCCUCAGGCCCCCGGGCCUGGCGUUGGGGAUCGGCGGAGCCCCCCGUGGGCACACGCCGUCCCCCAAAUCCAGUGGCGGUCCCGCCGCAGCUUCCAUCGCGUAGUAGCUAACACCUCGCGACUGGAGAGCGGCGCGGCCACGCCGUAAAACACCCAACUCUUCUGAAGUUGACCUCGAAUCAGGUAGGAAUACCCGCUGAACUUAAGCAUAUCAAUAAGCGGAGGA